UCGAUUUGAAUCUUUUUUUUAUUGACUAGUGUGUGGGUGUCAUUUAUUGUAUUUUUCGAAAUUACAAUUCCAUAACCUUAGCUCUUCACACCAAACUUUGUUUGAAUGGAUUUAAGAUCACACCUGACGCUGCAUCACAUUAAGUUUACAGAGGUAAAACUGAUUAUACCGGAUCGCCUCGACAACCCCUUCUUGAUUAGUUGUCAAGAGUCAAUCUCCAUUAAACGAUUUUAAAGUUUCUUCGGAUUGAUAGCCUCGACUGGCACGCCUCGAGUAUGGUGGCCAUGUGUAAGUGGAGGCAUGUGUCGGUAUGUAAAUGCAAUUAAUCAAGACUGCCACCGGAAUUCAAUGCAACGGCCACUGCAAGAUUUAUGCAUUUCCACCAAAAUUCUUGUUUAUUUCACUUGGAGAUCGAAAUCAAAUUUACAAGUGUGGCUGAGAAUCAAUCGCUUUUAGGUAUCUUGAUGAAACACAGUGGAUCCCCGCAUUAGGAUACAGCCGUUCGUGAUUAAGUGUCGAAGACAUAAAAUGUUCCAAAAAUUAUGUAAAUGAAAUUGGUUACAUUAUUUCUCAUUUUACUAAUGAAAAACCUCCACGUUUCACAAUGAAAAUAAAAGUUUCCAUACAUUUCCAAUUGUAAUACCCACCACCGUA
Long non-coding RNA from Stomoxys calcitrans (stable fly), 654 nucleotides. RefSeq lists it as uncharacterized. The transcript has 2 exons. NCBI's taxonomy places the organism in Eukaryota, Metazoa, Arthropoda, Insecta, Diptera, Muscidae. The record is from RefSeq and is a predicted model, not a curated record.